AGAGUUUGAUCCUGGCUCAGAUUGAACGCUGGCGGCAUGCCUUACACAUGCAAGUCGAACGGUAACAGGUUAAGCUGACGAGUGGCGAACGGGUGAGUAAUAUAUCGGAACGUGCCCAGUCGUGGGGGAUAACUGCUCGAAAGAGCAGCUAAUACCGCAUACGACCUGAGGGUGAAAGCGGGGGAUCGCAAGACCUCGCGCGAUUGGAGCGGCCGAUAUCAGAUUAGCUAGUUGGCGGGGUAAAAGCCCACCAAGGCAACGAUCUGUAGCUGGUCUGAGAGGACGACCAGCCACACUGGGACUGAGACACGGCCCAGACUCCUACGGGAGGCAGCAGUGGGGAAUUUUGGACAAUGGACGCAAGUCUGAUCCAGCCAUGCCGCGUGCGGGAAGAAGGCCUUCGGGUUGUAAACCGCUUUUGUCAGGGAAGAAAAGGUUCUGGUUAAUACCUGGGAUCCAUGACGGUACCUGAAGAAUAAGCACCGGCUAACUACGUGCCAGCAGCCGCGGUAAUACGUAGGGUGCAAGCGUUAAUCGGAAUUACUGGGCGUAAAGCGUGCGCAGGCGGUUAUGCAAGACAGAUGUGAAAUCCCCGGGCUCAACCUGGGAACUGCAUUUGUGACUGCAUAGCUAGAGUACGGUAGAGGGGGAUGGAAUUCCGCGUGUAGCAGUGAAAUGCGUAGAUAUGCGGAGGAACACCGAUGGCGAAGGCAAUCCCCUGGACCUGUACUGACG
This 735-nucleotide ribosomal RNA is filed under the name uncultured bacterium. Its description in RNAcentral is "bacterial SSU rRNA". It matches the Rfam family "Bacterial small subunit ribosomal RNA", at positions 8 to 745 of the family's 1533-position model. The record is from RNAcentral.